Ochotona curzoniae (black-lipped pika) is the source of this 347-nucleotide long non-coding RNA. RefSeq lists it as uncharacterized. The record is from RefSeq and is a predicted model, not a curated record. The transcript has 3 exons. NCBI's taxonomy places the organism in Eukaryota, Metazoa, Chordata, Mammalia, Lagomorpha, Ochotonidae.
CAACAACAGAGACAUCCUGAGGUCACCUUCACUUCCCCUUCAGAGGUUGAGGCUUACCCAGCCUUACCUUCUGCAGCUGAGCCAGAGGCCAUGGAUGAGACUGCAGCUUCCCCUAAGGAGAUAGAGCCUAUCCCUACAGAAUGGGAAUCUGAAGCUGAACCCCUGGAGGCCCUUCCGAUCACCCUUCCGUCUCCACCACGGCUGAAAGUCUCAGCUCAACAUCCGGAAAUGACUGUGGGUUCCAAAACCCAACCCCAAGUGUAUUACCUGACUCCACCUCCUGCUACAGAGGCUGUCCUUUCUUCGGAGCCCCUAACCCAACCUCCAGAGCCACUUCAAGAAUCUGU